AUUCCCCUUUCUCCUCAUCUGUUCUUUCUUCCGCAGAACCCAAUCUCUUCCUUUGCCUCUCUUGUUUAGUUUUUGUCUUUUUCUAGAUCUGUGCCUAUCAGAUACACAAACCUGCAUGGUCUGGUGAAAAGAGAAAAAGGGGAAGACAGAGGAGGUUUAAAAUCAAAAAGGAAAAAGAAUACUUACUGUCUGGUUUUCUUCAUCCCCGCUACUACCUUCGUCAGAGCAACUCUCUCCAUCUUCACCCUUUCCCUCGGGAGUGACAGAGCUGAGAGACGGGAGACCACAAGUGAGCACUAAGUACUCUUUCCUCCUUUUAGUACUGUGAGAAGAGAAAACAUCCAAUGUAAAGUCAGUACACCAAAUAGCAAAGAAGUUGAAUCUU
Long non-coding RNA from Lycium ferocissimum, 385 nucleotides. RefSeq lists it as uncharacterized. The record is from RefSeq and is a predicted model, not a curated record. Lineage: Eukaryota; Viridiplantae; Streptophyta; Magnoliopsida; Solanales; Solanaceae. The transcript has 2 exons.